RNAcentral lists this long non-coding RNA (562 nucleotides) under Sus scrofa (pig). Its description in RNAcentral is "lncRNA (ENSSSCG00070027965.1)". The record is from RNAcentral. Lineage: Eukaryota; Metazoa; Chordata; Mammalia; Artiodactyla; Suidae.
GUGCCAUUCGUAGCAGGCAAGCUCCAGAGGUCACCCUAUUAGUCUAUCAAUUCCUAGCACAGAUUAAACUCAUAGUUGGGUCUCUGUAAAUAUUUACGCCGUAAAUAAGGAGAGCAGAGCUAUCCAGGCUGAGAGGAGAACACGUGAGGCUAAGUCCAGGAAGGAGCUACAGGUGUGGCUGGAAUAUGCGGUGGGGAACCUGGGAAGAUUGAAUGUCCUCUGGAGUCCACGGGGGUUUCCAGGGGGAGAAGCAAAACAAAACGGAGCAUAGCGGCACAGUGGGACAGACUUUCCCAAGAUCCCCAGCUGGAUACCCCAAGAGAUCCAGCAGAAGAAAAACCAAAGCUGUAUAUGAGAUAAUUCUACAACACAGGGCAUCCAGUUUACCUAUGGAGAAAAUGAAGCUAAGGGUGAACUCAUGAUUUAAAGAUACAAACCUGGUAAGAAAAUAUGCCAGCAUCAAGAGACCAGCAGACACAACAAAUAGGAGCAUUGCUAUUCCCAAAUGCCUAAAUUAAUAUUCUAAAAUAAAUAUUCUGAAAGUGAGAAUAAAGUAAUAACG